GACGAACGCUGGCGGCGUGCCUAAUACAUGCAAGUCGAGCGGACUUGUGGGAGCUUGCUCCCACAAGUUAGCGGCGGACGGGUGAGUAACACGUGGGCAACCUGCCUAUAAGACUGGGAUAACUUCGGGAAACCGGAGCUAAUACCGGAUAGUUCUUUUCUCCUCAUGGAGAGAAGGGGAAAGAUGGUUUCGGCUAUCACUUAUAGAUGGGGCCCGCGGCGCAUUAGCUAGUUGGUGAGGUAACGGCUCACCAAGGCAACGAUGCGUAGCCGACCUGAGAGGGUGAUCGGCCACACUGGGACUGAGACACGGCCCAGACACCUACGGGAGGCAG
This 334-nucleotide ribosomal RNA is filed under the name uncultured Bacillota bacterium. RNAcentral's name for it is "bacterial SSU rRNA". It matches the Rfam family "Bacterial small subunit ribosomal RNA", at positions 28 to 351 of the family's 1533-position model. Lineage: Bacteria; Bacillati; Bacillota. The record is from RNAcentral.